Molecule: ribosomal RNA, 433 nt
Filed under: uncultured bacterium
Lineage: Bacteria
Description: partial 16S ribosomal RNA
Rfam family: Bacterial small subunit ribosomal RNA
Source: RNAcentral
AACGAACGCUGGCGGCAGGCCUAACACAUGCAAGUCGAGCGGACCUUUCGGGGUCAGCGGCGGACGGGUGAGUAACGCGUGGGAAUAUGCCCUUCUCUACGGAAUAGUCCUGGGAAACUGGGGGUAAUACCGUAUACGCCCUUUGGGGGAAAGAUUUAUCGGGGAAGGAUUAGCCCGCGCUGGAUUAGGUAGUUGGUGGGGUAAUGGCCUACCAAGCCGACGAUCCAUAGCUGGUUUGAGAGGAUGAUCAGCCACACUGGGACUGAGACACGGCCCAGACUCCUACGGGAGGCAGCAGUGGGGAAUCUUAGACAAUGGGGGCAACCCUGAUCUAGCCAUGCCGCGUGAGUGAUGAAGGCCUUAGGGUUGUAAAGCUCUUUCAGCUGGGAAGAUAAUGACGGUACCAGCAGAAGAAGCCCCGGCUAACUCCGUG